RNAcentral lists this unclassified non-coding RNA (152 nucleotides) under uncultured Ascomycota. RNAcentral describes it as "sequence contains ITS1". The record is from RNAcentral. Lineage: Eukaryota; Fungi; Ascomycota.
CCGAGUGAAGGGUCUACCCGACCCGACCUCCAACCCUUUGUUUAAAACUACCGCGUUGCCUCGGGGGAGGCGGGCCUCGCGGCCCGCGGCCCCGGUGGCCUACUCAAACUCUGCUUCUUACGUCGUCUGAGUCUACUCGAGAAAUCGAAACA